UACGGGGGGGGGGUAAGCGUUGUUCGGAAUUACUGGGCGUAAAGGGCUCGUAGGCGGCCAACUAAGUCAUACGUGAAAUCCCUCAGCUUAACUGGGGAACUGCGUGUGAUACUGGAUGGCUUGGAUUUGGGGAGAGGGAUGCGGAAUUGACGGUGUAGCGGUGAAAUGCAUAGAUAUCGUCAAGAACACCUAUAGCGAAGGCAGCUUACUGGGCUG
This 216-nucleotide ribosomal RNA is filed under the name uncultured bacterium. RNAcentral describes it as "partial 16S ribosomal RNA". It matches the Rfam family "Bacterial small subunit ribosomal RNA", at positions 522 to 736 of the family's 1533-position model. The record is from RNAcentral.